AUAUUGGGCAAUGGGCGCAAGCCUGAUCCAGCCAUGCCGCGUGUGUGAAAAAGGACUUAUGGUUGAAAAACACUUUAUGCGAGAAGAAGACUUGUUUAGUUAAUACCUAGCGCUAGUGGACGAUACUGCCAGAAUAAGCACCUGCGAACUCUCUGACAUCAACCGCGGUAAUACAGAGGGUGCAAGCGUUAAUCGGAUUUACUGGGCGUAAAGCGCGCGUAUGCGGCUAAUUAAGUCAAAUGUGAAAUCCCAGAGCUUAACUUGGGAAUUGCAUUCGAUACUGGUUAGCUAGAGUGUGGGAGAGGAUGGUAGAAUUCCAGGUGUAGCGGUGAAAUGCGUAGAGAUCUGGAGGAAUACCGACGGCGAAGGCAGCCAUCUGGCCUAACACUGACGCUGAGGUGCGAAAGCAUGGGGAGCAAACAGG
This 424-nucleotide ribosomal RNA is filed under the name uncultured bacterium. RNAcentral describes it as "partial 16S ribosomal RNA". It matches the Rfam family "Bacterial small subunit ribosomal RNA", at positions 361 to 776 of the family's 1533-position model. The record is from RNAcentral.